GCCACAUCAUGAUUAACAUACAAAUAUCUCAACUAAUAACCUAUUUAUUCAUUGCAUUUCAUGCAGCCUCUGUUCCAACUAUAUAUAUAUUGAUUCACACCCAAAGCAUUAAAACCUCAUCUAAAUACUCGCAUUGCAACAUCAAGAUCAAAUGUAUACAUAGUACAAAACAUUAUCAACUAUCAUAUAUGCCUAUUUAUAUAACAUAAAAUCCUAUAGGUACAUGCCGACCAAAGUAGCAAUAGGUACAUGCCGACCAAAGUAGCAAUAGUUUCACCAACUCGAUGAGUGCCGGAUUAUCUGCUGGAUGCUAAUAACAAUGAGUGCACACGAUUGAACCUAACCUACGCAUGGAAAACAAACCGGACGCUGAGUAAUCAACUCAGUGGCAUUUCUAUAACUAAUAUUAUAACAUAACAAAAAUUAUGUAAGGACAUAAACAAAAUAAGAUAAUUAUGUAAGAACAUAAACAAAAUAAGAUAAUCAAAGGUCCAUAAGGAGUUUAAUAUGUUAAAUUAUGUUAUAAGAACAUAAUCAUUUCAUAUUGCAUUUGUAGUCAUAUCGGCUGGUUGCCACAUAUUCAUCUUCAAAUUCCUGACCUGUAACUCCAAAAUUCAAUUAAACAUUGAACAAUCUCUUACAUGCAAAUAAAUCACGCUUUGCAAACAAAACCGGGUCUAAAAUUAGCUUACAAAAGCUCCGAGAACAAACAAGGAUUAAAUUGUAACAUUUUUAAAAUAAUAAGUGAAUGUGAGAAACAUGGGUCACACGGUUGUGUGGGUUAAAAGUCCAACUUACCAUAGGUCACAUGGCCUUGUAGUGCUAGCUCAUGUAGUGUAUGAUUGAGCUAAUCAGUAUCAAAUUUCAUGCCUUAAUUGGCACCCAGAUACACCAUUCAAAUCUAGUAGCACAAGCAAUUCUAUCAAGCACUACCAAGUUUCUCAAUCAACUAUCAUCCUUAUAACAAUUCCUACCAUUCUAUUCAAUUUAUGGCCAUUUCAUUUCUAGCAACUCAAAUCACAUUCUCAACCUCACAAACAUACCAACUGCAUACUCAACUCAUAACAAUAAACCAGAUUUGAAUGACAUAAAAAUACAAAUUCUAACCGUUAAGACAGCAAUUCAGACAACAACCAAGCAUAUAAUUCGAUUAACUAUUUAAUGCAUUAAUUUGGUAGUUUCCUAGUUACGCACUUCUGAACAACAACUUAAUAUUUAUUCUUAGAAAUAGCAGAUUUAAUAUUUAUUUACAGACAAUAAUUAAACAUGCAAUUUUUGAACAACAUUUUAAUACAUUUAUUCAGACCAGCCCAUUUUGUACAAAAUGGACUGCCCUGUUUAUACAACAUUAUUAUGUAUAACAUCAAAUUGGACAGGUUAUUACAUCAAGUAUGCAAGCACUUAACCGGCAAGAAAUCAUAAUUAAUAUGUCUGUCUUUGAACAACUUAAAUGCAUUGAUAAUGCAAGAGAUUAAGGCACAUUAACAGCCUAAAUGUUAAACAUUAAUCCCGAGGAUGAAAUGUUGAAAAUCUAGCAUUCGAACAAAUUGAAAUCCAGCAUUCAACAGCAGCAACUUAUAGCAUUUAAAUCAUAAAUUUCCCUUUAAUUUAGACAGCAACAAAGAGUAACAAUACAUAGUAUUAAAAUCAAUAAACAACAGCUCAUUUAACCCUUACAAUGAGUAGCCAAAUUAAAAAAAAAAAAGACAACAUUUAACCGAAGUUCCCUUCAUUUAAAACAGCAGUUAAUGGCAUUUAAAUCAAAGGGAUUUGUAUGUUGAAUUUUCAGCAUUUGGGCUGCAUUAAACACUUCCAAUCAACAGUCAAAUUUAAUAAUCAACAAUCACACUUUCCUUCAUUUACAACAGCAGGUCAAAGCAUUUAAACAAAAGAAUAUGCAUGCUAAAUUUCCAGCAUUUGGACAACAUUUCAACAUGAAAAUUUCCAGCUUUUCACCUUCAAUAUUUCGAAUAUUCAAAAGCAAAAAGAAGGGUACAACUAAUCAAUUAAAAUUUUUGAACAUAAUUCAAGGUAUAUGUUCAACCGAACAUUCAUGUUAACUCAUAAUCAACAAGUUAUUAAGUAGAAAAUAAAAACAUUAUUAGCAUGCAUGCUAUCUGCAUACAACUACCGUUCAACUUCCAUCUCCUACCAGCCUUACCAAUUUCACCAUUUGAAAGAACAGUAAGGAAAAGAAGAGAAAAGAACAAGGGCGUGACUGUGAGAAUCUCACCAGAAAAUCCAACAGAAACUACUCUGAAGCCGUGCCUUUCCCUUUCUUACUGCUGCUUCCAGCUUCUCCCUUAGCUGUACACAACCAUUUCCUUGUUAAAACAAAAGAAAACACAUUCCGCAGCCCUGUAUUUCUACUAGAACACUUCAUGAAUUUAUUAGUCUUGGACAUGCAAGAACUCAGCUGCAAGAGGGACCUUCGGUCAAGCUUAAAACCAACCUCUCCAAAGUCCCAUUCCCAGUUCCCACCAGUGGUCUAGAGGCAAAGACGAGUUGAGGAAUUUACCUAUUUUUCUUCCUAAAAUCAGCUCCUAAUGAGCCCAGUUUGACCAUGAAACAGUUUAACCACCCACUUCUCUUUCUUCAAACAGUUAGCAAAGAUGAGCAUAAGGAAAGAAAAUCAAAAUGUUUAAGUCUUUUUCUGUUUCUAUCUUUCGUCCAGCCACAACCAUUCACAACUUCAGUUUCCUCGCUCUUUUUUCUUUCUCACCGUCCCAUCCCUUUUUCCCAAGAAAAUCCAUUUUAAUUAAAAUUAUAUGACAAUAUCUAAAUGUUAGUGGGAACAAUCAUUGACCAAUUUCCCAUGUUUACAAUCGACCACCCAACCAAAAGUCGCACACACCCUAAACCCAUUAGUUAACAUUAUAAAAUAUUAAGCAUAAUGAUUAACACCACCAUCAUCUAACUAUCUAGUUUCAUUUGAAAGAAACAUUUGUAAAGCAUAACUAUGUAGAUAACUGGCGCUAACUAGCCCAACCACCAUACCAAAAUUCCCUCCUCAACCAAGGUUAUGAAUUGAAAUAAAAUGAAUGUCUUUGGAGUUAUUAAAUUUACAAAAGAAAAACAAUACUUUAACCCUCCAUCUUGUAUUGAAAUGAUACUUUUACCAUUUAAAUCCUUAAUUUAAUUAUCUUAAAUCACCUUAGGUAAUUACAAUUUCAAAAAAUUAAUUUUUGAAGAAACUUUAAUACAAUUUUAAUAAAUAAAAGAGAGUUGAGAGAAGAAUAAAAUUUAAGUGAGAAAUUCAAGAGAGAUUUGAGAGAAAUUUGAGAGAGAUUUAA
RNAcentral lists this long non-coding RNA (3293 nucleotides) under Gossypium barbadense (sea-island cotton). RNAcentral's name for it is "long non-coding RNA (GBAR_LNC014751)". Lineage: Eukaryota; Viridiplantae; Streptophyta; Magnoliopsida; Malvales; Malvaceae. The record is from RNAcentral.